This is an RNA transcript of Diospyros lotus (date-plum), 3835 nucleotides long. It is a transcript of the gene named putative disease resistance protein RGA1, with no coding region annotated. The transcript has 3 exons. The record is from RefSeq and is a predicted model, not a curated record. NCBI's taxonomy places the organism in Eukaryota, Viridiplantae, Streptophyta, Magnoliopsida, Ericales, Ebenaceae.
UCUUAUGAAGCUUCAAAAUGUUGUGUUUGACGGAGGGGCUGGAGGAUCAUUUUGGCAACCCUCAGAACCACCCAAAACGGCAAUGUUUUGGGCCUCUGAGUGGAUGGCCAAAACGACAAUCCCCUGUGCCGUUUUGCUUGGCGUACUUUCUUGUCGUCUUGCCUGCUGCUUGCCCGAUCGUUGAUGUUCUGCUGUGUCUUUAUUUAUCCCGAUUGCUACCGUUGGAGCUUCCUUUAUAUCCACUACAGUGGUCUCGAGAUCAGCAGUGCACACAGCCUUCGAUUACCUUCCUUUGUUUGGUUUGAUCUGAUCAUUCUCUGUAAUUCCUUUCUCUCUCUGUAUAGUUUACGUAUGUUUAUUUUCUCUUUAGGGUUUGGUUUCUGACCUUUAGUUCUGUGGUUAUGGGGCCGAUUUGAAGGUGAGAAUCGUUUUGUACAGUGAGGGUUGAGAGUGAAUCUGUGUAUAUUGAGGUUGUAAUCAUUUUUAUUCCAAUAAUGGAGUGAGCUUUCUUUGCCGGAUCUUAACGUGAAUAUAACCCUUAUUAAUGGAAGAACCACGAUAAAUCUUUUGUCGUUUUGUGUUUGAUUUUGUUUGAUUAUUGCAUGCUCACAGUAUUGAAUAUUCAGUGUUUGCUGCUUUGAAUACUUGGUGGAGGCUUAUCUUUUCAUAACAGAAAGCUUUAAGCCAGAGACGUUGGUUGCUUCUCAAUAUAAAUCGUUCUUCUUCAACACCCUUCAAUCUGUUCCCCAAGAAAGGAAGAAUGGGAGAACUGCUUCUGUUCAAUGUGGUAGAACUCAUUCUGUCCAAGCUAGGCGAACUUCUAGUCGAGGAACUCUUCCUGGCAAACGGAGCAGAUGCCGAGCUCCGGAAGCUUGAAACCGCUUUGUCGUCAAUCAAACUGGUCCUAUUGGACGCAGAGGAGAACCAGUCAACGAACGUCGAGGUUCACAAAUGGCUCGCCAAUGUCAAGGAUGCUUUCGCCGACGCCGAUGAUCUUCUGGACGAGGUCGAAUUUGAAGCUCUCAAGAACCAGGUUAGGGGAAAGUUAUGGAACUAUCUUACAAGCAGUAGUUCAAUUACUUUCCGCCUUUCAGUUGUUAGCAGGAUCAAGGAGAUGACAGAGAGGUUACAUUUAAUUGAUGGUGGGAAAAAAAAUUUUGGGCUUUCUGAGAGGUCUUCGGAUCCGCGUAAUGCGCGUAUACAGAGGGAGACGAGCCAUUCUUUUGUUCGUCGCGUCGAUGUGAUAGGAAGAAGAAGGGAUGAAGAAGCCAUUGUUGAGAGGUUGAAUGAUGCUCGGGAACAUGUUUCUGUCAUUCCCAUUGUGGGAAUUGGGGGCUUGGGGAAGACAACAUUGGCUAGGUUAGUGUACAAUAAUGAGCGGGUUGCUAGGCAUUUUGGGCUGAAGAUGUGGGUCGGUGUUUCUCAGGAUUUUGAUAUGAAUGUGCUGAUGAGAAAGAUCAUUGAAUCUGCAACGAGCUCGGCCUGUGCUGAGCUAGACAGUGAUCAGUUGCAGCGUAUGCUUCGGGGUUGUUUGGCCGAUAAGAAAUUUUUACUGAUCUUGGAUGAUAUGUGGGACAGCGACCAAGGAAAAUGGAGGGAACUGAUAUCUCUCCUCAUGGGUGGUCGCAGAGGAAGCAAAGUCAUUGUCACCACUAGGUCUAAAGCAGUUGUUUCCAUUGUGGGCAGCGAUCAUCGUUAUGAACUUGGUGGACUUGCUUGGAGAGAUUGCUUCUCUUUGAUUCUGGAAUGGGCUUUUCCAAAAGGAGAAGAUCAGAGUAGGCAUCAGAACCUCCUCGACAUCGGAGAGCAAAUUGCAGUGAGAUGUAGGGGAGUUCCAUUAGCUGCAAGGACUCUAGGAAGCCUGCUGUACAAAAAAACAGACGAACGUGAUUGGCAGCGUGUGCGAGACAGUGAAAUAUGGAGGUUACAAGGUCAGGGGCAAGAGCAUAUCCUGCCUGCUCUGAAAUUGAGUUAUGAUUACUUACCAUCUUACCUGAAACCAUGUUUUGCAUACUGUUCAAUUUUUCAAAUGGGGCAAUACAUUAACAAGGAUAAGUUAAUUCACCUGUGGAUGGCACAAGGGCUGAUUCAGUCAAGUCCUGGCCAAAAUCAAGAGCCUGAAAGCAUCGGGGAUCAGUAUUUUGAUCAGUUGUGUUCAGCAUCACUCUUUCAAGACGUUGAAGAGAAUGGCCCCUUGUCUGUAACCUUUAGAAUGCAUGAUCUUGUACAUGCACUUGCACAGUCUGUAGCACAAACAGAAUGCCUAAAGAAGAAAUCCCAUACGAAAGCUGUAUCUAAUAUGGUUCGGCAUGUUUCCUUACUGGGUUGUGAUUUGUCAGGACAGGGAGUAGAAAAAUCCCUCCUGAAACUUCAGAAGCUGCGGACCAUUUUCUUUCCACGGGAUGGGAUAAGAUCCACUCAUGAUCGUUUUGUAGAUGAAUGCAUCAAAACUUUCCUGUACUUGAGAGUGAUCGAUUUGGAGGAUUCAUGUUUUGAAGUCUUACCGAAAUCUGUUGGUUACUUGAAACAUUUGAGGUUCCUUGACCUCAGUUGGAACUGUAGCAUCAAAGAACUCCCUGCUUCCAUUUGCAAGCUGCUGAAUCUGCAGACUCUGAGAAUCUCAUAUUGUAAGGCGUUGAAGAGGUUGCCUAAAAAUAUAGGGAACUUGAUUGGCCUUAGACAUCUCUAUGUAACCACACAACAGGAAUCUUUCCCUGAGAAAGCAAUCGGAUGCUUGACUUCUCUUCAGUCUCUGUGGAUCACCGGUUGUGCCAACCUUGUUUGUUUGCCAGAAGAAAUUCAGUGCCUCAGAGCUCUUCGGACAUUAGCUAUCAGCAGAUGCCCGAGAUUAGCAUCUCUUCCAAAAUGCGUAGCAAGUCUUGCCAAGUUAGAGAACCUGAUGAUCAAUGACUGUGAAAAGCUCAACUUGGAUGAGGGGAGAAUCACUGUAAUUGCAAACCUUGGCAUCAGGACAAUGGUAUUUACAGAAUUACCAAACUUUGUGAAUUGGCCCCAUUGGCUGCGUGGCACAGCCAGGAGUGUAAAUUACCUAAGGAUUGCAUUCUGCCCCAGCCUCCGGAAAUUCCCAGAGUGGCUGCAAAACUCAGCGUCGCUUCAGAAACUUGAGAUUUUGGGAUGCCCGGAAGUGUCAGCAUUGCCAGAGGGAUUCCAACACCUCCGGACACUGAAAGUACUGAGGGUUAAAGAGUGUAGCAGGCUGGCUCGUACACUACACCCAGAAACAGGAAGAGACUGGCAUAUGGUAGCUCAUGUCCCAGAAUUAUACAUCAACAACGCCAGGAUCACCUCCUCUCAUUAUUAGCUUGGUUUGUAAACUUCAGUAAGGACCAAAGAUCAAUUUGGAGGCAGCAAUUUCAGCUUCAAUCGGGUUUCUACAACUUAAGGGAAAGCGAUAGUGGGCGAUGAGGCUAGUCACGCCUGAUGGUGAGAGAUGCAUAGUGUAUACAGAGUCACCUCGAGCGGAGAAUCCUGGGGAGUGUCUUGUUUUCUUUUUAACAGGGCAUGGGAGAACAAUUGUCUUCAUGUAAUUUUGUUUCAUGCCACCAUUUUUUUUUUUUUUUUUUGGUAUUAUAUGGGUUGUUAAGCCCAGACCAAACAUGUUACUUGAUUGUGUUGUAUGAAUGUCAAGUUCUCUACGUAAAUGUUAGUAUAAUGUCAUGAAAGUACUAUUGGGAUGCUUUGUUUCCAUUUCUUAGCGACCUUUUCAUGGAUUGCCUAUGCUAGUAGGUACUCUAGGAGGCAGACCGUGACAGUUGUGUAUUAGAAUUUGUCAUUUUGAAAGAGUAGUAUGAUCAUUAUUUGUAUAUUGAUAUUU